This 244-nucleotide long non-coding RNA is filed under the name Bos taurus (domestic cattle). Its description in RNAcentral is "long non-coding RNA NONBTAT022185". The record is from RNAcentral. Lineage: Eukaryota; Metazoa; Chordata; Mammalia; Artiodactyla; Bovidae.
AGUAUUUAUAUGAAACUUUUUAGUAUUCUGUAUUUAGAAAUGAAUGUCUGUUCCUUAACAAAGGAUAUAGAUUGAACUAACAUUACAAUGCUUCAGAGUUGGACCUACCCCCCACCCCCCCCACGCCACCCUUCUUUGAAUGAAUAACAGUGCCUCAGAGUGCUGACAUAUUGUUUCAGAAUUAAUUUUUGAGUUUCAUUGUGUGAAUUACACAUUUGAUCACAUGCCAAAUCUAAAUGAUUUG